UACGUAUGGAGCAAGCGUUAUCCGGAUUUACUGGGCGUAAAGGGAGCGUAGACGGCGGUGCAAGCCAGAUGUGAAAGCCCGGGGCUCAACCCCGGGACUGCAUUUGGAACUGUGUAGCUGGAGUGUCGGAGAGGCAGGCGGAAUGCGUGGUGUAGCGGUGAAAUGCAUAGAUAUCACACAGAACACCGAUUGCGAAGGCAUCUCACGAAUCCGCGAUUGACGCUGAUGCACGAAAGCGUGGGUAUCAAACAGG
This 253-nucleotide ribosomal RNA is filed under the name uncultured bacterium. RNAcentral's name for it is "partial 16S ribosomal RNA". It matches the Rfam family "Bacterial small subunit ribosomal RNA", at positions 524 to 776 of the family's 1533-position model. The record is from RNAcentral.